ACAAGGGCAUACGGUGGAUGCCUUGGUGCCAGCAGGCGAAGAAGGGCGCAGCGAGCUGCGAUAAGCCACGGGUAGCCGCAAGCAGGCUUUGAUCCGUGGAUACCCGAAUGGGGGAACCCACUGCGAGUAGUGUCGCAGUACCCAUACCUGAAUCCAUAGGGUAUGGGGGCCAUACCCGGGGAAUUGAAACAUCUUAGUACCCGGAGGAGCAGAAAACAACAGUGAUUUUCCAAGUAGCGGCGAGCGAACGGGAAAGAGCCUAAACCAUGUACGUGUUAAAGUCUGCCGGCGUUGCGGACAUGGGGUAGCGGGACACAUUGGGAGCUUCGGCAGGAGCUCGCAGCGGAAGUCAGUUUGUUAGUCGAAGCGGCCUGGAAAGGCCUGCCGCAGAAGGUAAAAGCCCUGUAGGCGAAAACAAACAGACAGCUGUAGAUGUGCACCCAAGUAGCACGGGACACGUGAGACCCCGUGUGAAUCAGGGAGGCCCACCUCCUAAGGCUAAAUACUAGCUGGCAACCGAUAGUGAACCAGUACCGUGAGGGAAAGGUGAAAAGCACCCCGGGAGGGGAGUGAAACAGAACCUGAAACCGUAUGCUUACAAGCAGUAACGGCACAAUGUCUUUUGAUACGUGUUGUUGCGUACUUUUUGUAGAACGGGCCAACGAGUUACGUUCUGCAGCGAGGUUAAGUGGUUCAGCCACGGAGCCGCAGCGAAAGCGAGUCUGAAUAGGGCGUCUUUAGUUGCAGGAUGUAGACCCGAAACCGAGUGAUCUACCCAUGGCCAGGGUGAAGCUUGUUUAAACGCAAGUGGAGGCCCGAACCCACCAAUGUUGAAAAAUUGGGGGAUGAGCUGUGGGUAGGGGUGAAAAGCCAAUCGAACUCGGAUAUAGCUGGUUCUCCCCGAAAUAGCUUUAGGGCUAGCGUCGGCAGAUGAGUCGUGGAGGUAGAGCACUGUUUGGGCUAGGGGCCUCACCCGGUUACCGAACUCAGACAAACUCCGAAUGCCAUAGACUUUCAUGUCGGCAGUCAGACUACGGGAGCUAAGUUUCGUAGUCGAGAGGGAAAGAGCCCAGACCGUCAGUUAAGGUCCCCAAGUAUAGGCUAAGUGGAAAAGGAUGUGGAAUUGCAGAGACAACCAGGAUGUUGGCUUAGAAGCAGCCAUCAUUUAAAGAGUGCGUAAUAGCUCACUGGUCAAGUGGUUCUGCGCCGAAAAUGUAACGGGGCUAAGCGGGGCUAAGCCUAUCACCGAAACUACGGCUUGUCAGGUGCUUAACUUUCGCCUUAACUAGUGGAGUAAGAGUGUGUUAGAUUUGGCGGCAGCGUCAUCUGGAUCUCCACAUAAGAGCUGAGGGAAACGGCGAUAACGGUCGUCAAAUUUCCCUGUUAAGCCUCAGUUGAGGCGUCAGUUAAGUACCUGACAGGGGUAGGGGAGCGUUCUGGUUGUGCUGAAGCGGUACCGAGAGGAGCCGUGGAACGACUAGAAGUGAGAAUGUUGGCAUGAGUAGCGAGAAGGCAAGUGAGAAUCUUGCCCGCCGAAAGCCUAAGGUUUCCUGAGGAAGGCUCGUCCUCUCAGGGUUAGUCGGGACCUAAGCCGAGGCAGAAAUGCGUAGGCGAUGGACAACAGGUUGAUAUUCCUGUACCACCUGCAGGCGUUAACAGCGAUGGGGUGACGCAGAAGGGUAGGCGCAGCGCACCGUUGGUAGUGUGCGUUCAAACGUUUAGGGAGUGCUGGCAGGCAAAUCCGUCGGCACGUCAAUCCUGAGGCGUGAUGAGGAGCGAAUUAUAGUAGCGAACUGGCUGAUCCCAAGCUGCCGAGAAAAACCUCUAGUGAGCAUGUAGGUGCCCGUACCGCAAACCGACACAGGUAGGCGAGGAGAGAAUCCUAAGGCGCGCGGAAGAACCUUCGUUAAGGAACUCGGCAAAUUGACCCCGUAACUUCGGGAGAAGGGGUGCCUCGUUAGGGUGAUAGAUUAUCUUGAGCCCGAGGGGGCCGCAGAGAAUAGGCCCAAGCGACUGUUUAGCAAAAACACAGGUCUCUGCGAAGUCGUAAGACGACGUAUAGGGGCUGACGCCUGCCCGGUGCUGGAAGGUUAAGAGGAGAGGUUAUCCGGCACUCAACUGUUUCUAUCAUUAGGAGGUAGACUAUGUAUUACGUCUACGUUAUAUGUAGCCAGGAGUUGCGAAACUGAUGCCAGAGCUAGAGAGAAAACCCUGAAAGUAUCAGGCCAGGCUCGGCGUUGGUUAAAGGAGCGUAUACGAAAUAGUAUAAAAGGGUAGAAACAGUUGAGUGCCGGAGAAGCUUUGAAUCUAAGCCCCAGUAAACGGCGGCCGUAACUAUAACGGUCCUAAGGUAGCGAAAUUCCUUGUCGGGUAAGUUCCGACCCGCACGAAAGGCGUAACGACUUGGGCGCUGUCUCGACGAAGGAUCCGGUGAAAUUGUAGUACCUGUGAAGAUGCAGGUUACCCACGACAAGACGGAAAGACCCCGUGGAGCUUUACUGCAGCCUGAUAUUGGAUUUUGAUAUGGGAUGUACAGGAUAGGUGGGAGACAUGGAAGUCAGGGCGCCAGCUUUGAUGGAGUCACCCUUGGGAUACCACCCUUUUCAUAUUGGAGUUCUAACCGCGAGCCGUGAUCCGGUUCCGGGACAUUGUCAGGUGGGCAGUUUGACUGGGGCGGUCGCCUCCCAAAAGGUAACGGAGGCGCUCAAAGGUUCCCUCAGCGCGGUUGGGAAUCGCGCGUAGAGUGUAAAGGCAUAAGGGAGCUUCACUGCGACACCGACGGGUGGAGCAGGGACGAAAGUCGGACUUAGUGAUCCGGCGGUGCUGCGUGGCAGGGCCGUCGCUCAACGGAUAAAAGCUACCCCGGGGAUAACAGGCUUAUCUCCCCCAAGAGUCCACAUCGACGGGGAGGUUUGGCACCUCGAUGUCGGCUCAUCGCAUCCUGGGGCUGAAUUCGGUCCCAAGGGUUUGGCUGUUCGCCAAUUAAAGCGGUACGCGAGCUGGGUUCAGAACGUCGUGAGACAGUUCGGUCCCUAUCUGUCGUGGGCGUAGGAGAAUUGAGGAGAGCUGUCCCUAGUACGAGAGGACCGGGAUGGACAGACCUCUGGUGUACCAGUUGUCAAGCCAUUGGCACUGCUGGGUAGCUAUGUCUGGACGGGAUAAGCGCUGAAAGCAUCUAAGCGCGAAGCCCCCUUCAAGAUAAGUUCUCCCACCCGGCACUCAACUUUUUCUAUCAGAUUAUAUGCCGUU
Molecule: ribosomal RNA, 3249 nt
Filed under: metagenome
Description: bacterial LSU rRNA
Rfam family: Bacterial large subunit ribosomal RNA
Source: RNAcentral